This 86-nucleotide transfer RNA is filed under the name Myxococcales bacterium. RNAcentral describes it as "tRNA-Ser". It matches the Rfam family "tRNA". Rfam says of the family: Transfer RNA (tRNA) molecules are approximately 80 nucleotides in length. Their secondary structure includes four short double-helical elements and three loops (D, anti-codon, and T loops). Lineage: Bacteria; Pseudomonadati; Myxococcota; Myxococcia; Myxococcales. The record is from RNAcentral. RNAcentral also lists the same sequence under 1 other name.
GGAGAGGUGUCCGAGUGGUCGAAGGUGCCUGAUUCGAAAUCAGGUAGGCGAAAGCCUCGGGGGUUCGAAUCCCCCCCUCUCCGCCA